UCCUCCUCGCCUUGCCUUUCUCUCUCUCUCUCUCCUCCGCUCUGGCUUCAGCCCUCAUGGGCCGCCCACCCGCCGCCCUCCCCUCACGCCCUUGUCGCCGAGGGGUCUGGAGAGACCGCGUCCGCCCCAGGCCUCUCCUCUGCCUCCCGCGUGCCGGGCUGUGACUAACUCAUCGCAGCAGCAGGCUUUCCCUUUGAGUUGCCUUGGCCUCCGUCUCUGUCCCUCUCUGUCUGUCUCUCUCCUGCCCCCACCCUCCCUCCGCCCCCUGGCUCCCCAUGUCCCCCGGCCCCCGCGGUGCAGCGGGCCGGUGUGGGGCCUUGCUAUAUGGCCUGUCCUUGGGGCCCAGCGAGCUGCGAACCCUGGCUGCGGGCAGCCCCUCGGAGCGGCGCUGGCGACAGAGCAGCCUCCCCCGAGGCCGAUGGACAGGGGGCGCCCCGGCCGCGGGGCCAUGGCUGGCCGCUGGCUCACCGCGUGCUUUCUGCCCUCGCCAGGUGCCGACACCAGCGCCGAGCCCAUGAUCCUGGAACAGUACGUGGUGGUGUCCAACUAUAAGAAGCAGGAGAACUCGGAGCUGAGCCUCCAGGCCGGGGAGGUGGUGGAUGUCAUCGAGAAGAACGAAAGCGGAUGGUGGUUCGUGAGCACCUCUGAGGAGCAGGGCUGGGUCCCUGCCACCUACCUGGAGGCCCAGAAUGGUACUCGGGACGAUUCAGACAUCAACACCUCCAAGAGCGGGGAAGUGUCCAAGAGACGCAAGGCCCAUCUGCGGCGCCUGGAUCGCCGGUGGACCCUGGGCGGGAUGGUCAACAGGCAGCACAGCCGAGAGGAGAAGUAUGUCACUGUGCAGCCUUACACCAGCCAAAGCAAGGACGAGAUUGGCUUUGAGAAGGGCGUCACCGUGGAGGUGAUCAGGAAGAACUUGGAGGGCUGGUGGUACAUCAGGUACCUGGGCAAAGAAGGCUGGGCACCAGCCUCCUACCUGAAGAAAGCCAAGGAUGACCUGCCAGCUCGGAAGAAGAAUCUGGCGGGCCCAGUGGAGAUCAUUGGGAACAUCAUGGAGAUCAGCAACCUGUUGAACAAGAAGACAUCAGGGGACAAAGAGACGCCCCCAGCCGAAGGCGAGGGCCCAGAGGCCCCCAUUGCCAAGAAGGAGAUCAGCCUGCCCAUCCUCUGCAACGCCUCCAACGGCAGCGCCCUGGGGAUCCCCGAGAGGACCGUCUCCAAGCUGGCCCAGGGCUCCCCAGCUGUGGCCAGGAUUGCCCCUCAGCGGGCCCAGAUCAGCUCCCCCAACCUAAGGACAAGGCCUCCACCUCGCAGAGAAUCCAGCCUGGGGUUCCAGCUGCCGAAGCCACCAGAGCCCCCUUCUGUUGAGGUGGAGUACUACACCAUUGCCGAAUUCCAGUCCUGCAUUUCUGACGGGAUCAGCUUUCGGGGUGGACAGAAGGCAGAGGUCAUCGACAAAAACUCGGGCGGCUGGUGGUACGUGCAGAUCGGUGAGAAGGAGGGCUGGGCCCCCGCGUCCUACAUCGAUAAGCGCAAGAAGCCCAACCUGAGCCGCCGCACGAGCACCCUGACCCGGCCCAAGGUCCCCCCACCGGCGCCCCCCAGCAAGCCCAAGGAGGCUGAGGAGGGUCCGGCAGGCACCGCCGAGACCCAGGACUCCCCGCUGAAGCUCAAGUACGAAGAGCCUGAGUAUGACAUCCCUGCCUUUGGCUUCGACUCGGAGCCAGAGCUGAGUGAGGAGCCCACGGAGGACAGAGGCUCGGGGGACAAGCGGCUGGCCCAGCCCCACAGGCCCUCGCCGGCCUCCUCCCUGCAGCGGGCCCGCUUCAAGGUGGGCGGGUCCUCCGAGGACGUGGCCCUGGAAGAGGAGACCAUCUAUGAGAACGAGGGCUUCCGGCCCUGUGCAGAGGACACCCUGUCAGCCAGACGGUCCUCCCGGGACAGUGACUCCCCAGGAGGCUCCCCACUGUCCCUUGCCAGGAAAAACUCCCCCAAAUCAGACUCCCCCAAAUCGUCCUCGCUCCUAAAGCUCAAGGCAGAGAAAAACGCCCAGGCGGAACUGGGGAAGAACCACUCCUCGGCCUCCUUCUCCUCGUCCAUCACCAUCAACACCACCUGCUCCUCCUCCUCCUCCUCCUCCUCUUCCUCCCUGUCCAAGCCCAGCAGCGACCUGAAGCCCCGUUCUGCCUCGGACGCAGGCAUCCGCGGCACCCCCAAGGUCGGAGCGAAGAAGGACGCUGACCUGAAGGCCGGGCUGACCUCCUGUGCUCGGGCCAAGCCAUCUGUCCGGCCCAAGCCAUUCCUGAACAGAGCGGAGUCCCAGAGUCAAGAGAAGAUGGACAUCAGCACUUUACGGCGCCAGCUGAGACCCACAGGCCAGCUCCGGGGAGGCCUCAAGGGCUCCAAGAGUGAGGACUCCGAGCUGCCCCCCCAGACAGCCUCCGAGGGUCCCAACGAGGGGUCCAGGAGAGGCUCAGCCGACCUCAUCACCCUCCCAGCUGCCACACCCCCCUGUCCCACCAAGAAGGGGCGGGAAGGGCAGGCCACCUCCUACAUGACGUGUAGUGCCUACCAGAAGGUCCAGGACUCGGAGAUCAGUUUCCCCGCUGGCGUGGAGGUGCAGGUGCUCGAGAAGUUGGAAAGCGGCUGGUGGUAUGUGAGGUUUGGGGAGUUGGAGGGCUGGGCCCCUUCCCACUACUUGGUGCUGGGUGAGAAUGAGCCACCUGACCCCUCUGGCAAAGAGCCGGACGCCGUGACCGCCAAGAGCAAGCAGAAGGAGGGCAAGUCGGACAGCCUGGAGAAGAUCGAGAAGCGGGUCCAAGCGCUGAAUACCGUCAACCAGAGCAAGAGGGCCACGCCGCCCAUCCCCUCCAAGCCUCCCGGGGGCUUCAGCAAGACCGCGGGUGCUGGGGUGGUGAAGAUGAGGAAUGGGGUUCGGCAGGUGGCGGUGAGGCCCCAGUCAGUGUUCGUGUCCCCACCACCCAAGGACAACAACCUGUCCUGCGCCCUCCGGAGGAACGAGUCGCUCACAGCCACCGACAGCCUCCGAGGCGUCCGCCGUAACUCCUCCUUCAGCACCGCCCGCUCGGCGGCUGCAGAGGCCAAGGGCCGCCUGGCCGAGCGGGCCGCCAGCCAGGGCUCAGACAGCCCUCUGCUGCCCACGCAGCGCAACGGUAUCCCCGUGUCCCCCGUGCGCCCCAAGCCUAUCGAGAAGUCCCAGUUCAUCCACAACAACCUCAAAGAUGUGUAUGUGUCCAUCGCGGACUACGAGGGGGACGAGGAGACGGCGGGCUUCCAGGAGGGUGUGUCCAUGGAGGUCCUGGAGAGGAACCCCAAUGGCUGGUGGUACUGCCAGAUCCUGGACGGGGUGAAGCCCUUCAAAGGCUGGGUGCCCUCCAACUACCUGGAGAAAAAGAACUAACAGGGCACGGGUCCUUCCAGCCUGGGUGUGGAUGAGUGGUGAGAUGAAGACAAUAGGGAGAGGGGAGGGGUGGGGGGUGGGGGGAGGACAACAUUAAACCCUGCAGAAGGUGUGACCUCAAGGACACUCCCCUCCAGACUGUCCCUGGCUGGAAGGGAGGGUCUGGUGGGGGGCCACCUUGAGCAGGAGGCCUGAGACCAAAGGUGAGACAGCUGAGCCCCAUGUGUGCCCCUUGGUGACUUCACUGAUGGGCUCAGCACCAUCUGGGACAGGCCAGUGGGAAGUCCCAGUCGUGCCUUGGCUGCAAAUCUGGAAAGGAUGUGGUCCUAGAGGCCUCCAUGCCCUGCCCCAGCCUAGCCCGGUUCCAGUUGCUGGCAGCUUGUUGCCAGGGGUGGGCCCGGGUAUCAUCCUCACCGUAACGGCGAAUUGUGCUGGUCUCCCGGGGACUGCCGCCGCCCGGCACGGGUGGUGUGGUAGAAGACACCUCUGGCUUUGGGGCUUGGAGGCCUCUCCUGUGAGCUCAGCCUGUCCCUGGCCAGGCCACUGUCCGUGUCUGUUAGUUGCAGAAAAAGCAGUUCCCCAGGUGCCAGCAAGGACCGCCUUGCCCGGGCGCCCGUGGAGACCCACCAGCCCGAUUUACGGAGGAUGGGCAGAGCCGGGGGUCUCAGUCUGCACAGACUUUAUUUUGGAUAUUUCUGGGUGGGCAGUUUCUUUGCAUGUUGCGGGAGAGGUUUAUUGAUUUGGGGCUUCUUGGUUGGGCCCUGGGUUUUGGUCUUAUUUUAGGGGUUGUUUGGGGGCCUCAGGACGGUCAGCCUCACAGGGGACGGGAGGGGGGUGGGUGGGCUUUUCUGUUAGACUCUUGUGGGAGGUUGGUUGUUGUUUGUGUUUCACAUGUUCCCCUCCACAAGCUGGAGUCGUUUCGUUUGGUUUCCACUGUGUGGACAGUGCCUGAGGGGUUGGGGGCGGAGAAGCCCCCCACUCCCAGACCGCGAGGCACCCACCUUCUGGUGCGAGCCCAGCCCAGGAGGGAGGAGGGUCUCGUUCAGGAGCGAAGGCGGCUCUCGGGCUGCUGGGUGACCGCCAUUCUGUGUACAGUCUCCCUCCUGGGCAGGACCGAAAGCCUGAGGGGACCCCCAACUGGGCCCCCAGGCCAGACUGGAGCAAACACCACCAGCCUGCCGGCGAUGCCACAGGGACCAAGGAGGUGGAGGACCCCAGACCAGGAGCUGACCUGGUCAUUCCGAGGGGCAGUGCCCCCGUGAAAAGAGAAGCGAGAGAAUAAAGUCCCUGUCGACUUCGGGUCUUUCGAUCAUUGACAUUUCAGAGGGGGCCCUCCAGAAGCCAGCGGCUUCCCGAGGACUCACCCUUUGCUGGGAGUGGAUUUCCACACGUGCCUUUGACUUCGGACAGGUCAGGCUUCACAGCCGCCGAUUCAGCUGCCAGAAUCCUGGACAAGGGUUGGUGUUCUCUCUCUCCACCUGCUUCCCACCCAGGACGGAGAUGUUGCCUGAAGGUGAGCAUGGGACCCAGGUCUUGUGCCUUCCGUACCCCAUGCGCCCCCUCCUGACCGUCCUCCCUCCUGUACACUGAAGCCUGGCAGCUAUAGCAAACUGCUCCUGUUCUCUGUUAAAGGGCCGUGGUGAGAUUUUGUUUCCUUUUGUUUUGUUUGUGAGUUUGUUUAAAAUGGAAAUUAGUUAUUUUCUUCUGCUGGACAGUAUUAAAUAGAGCAGGAUGUUGAGUUAAUCUGCUAGAUUGCAGUACUAAUGGUAGUGGUUUAGUGUCUUCAUAUUAAUAUUAUUUGGACUUAUUUGAACAAUAAUGAUAAAGAAGUGGUUCAUUAUUUUUUAAUUAAUGCACUUUAAUAAGGUGGAAUGGAAAGAAACCCAGAGAGCAAAGUGCAUUACUUAAAGAUGCAGUAUAUACUUUUCUCAUUUUUAAGCAGCACAUAUUUAUUGAAAGAAAAAAAGUAAUUUAUGAUUAUUUAAAAUAAAAUUUAAAAGUAGAGUGACUGUCGGGUUAAAGGACCUUCCACGUAGCUAUCUUCCAGGGGGAGGGCCCCAGCGGCCUCACUCCUCAGAUGUCUGCACUGAGCCAGUUCAAUCACAACGCGACAGCCAGGCCAGGAAGGAGUGCAGGACGCAUCUGCCAAGCACAGAGCAUCUCAGUUGGACUGGACCACAGUGCUCCCCAGAGCCUGUCUUCCCCUGCCCUUCCUCACGGUCUUUACUGCCCUGUGGGGCUCUCUACCACCACCAGGGCCCACAUUCCCCUGCCCCUCAAGGGUCCCCCUCUAUCCUUGAUCCCCAGUGCUCUAAGUGAUGGUCAUUAAAAGUGACCUCAAAGGUCACUCCAUCCCCUCCCCUCCUGUUAUUGCAGCCCAAGGACAGGAAAUGACUCCCAAAAUCACACGGCCAAGUUUACUGGCAGACCUCCCCACGGCAUCCCUCCUGGCACUCCUACCCAUCCCCCUUCGAGCUUAUUGCGUGGUCAUCAUGUUUACAUUGGGACAUCCAGCCCCGAGGAUGGCUGGGAGUUGCUCAGGCAUCCAGGGAAAGUGGGGAAUGCUGCCACCUGGUGACAGCAUGGAGAUUUGGGCAGUGAACAGGGAUUGCCAUGUCCCAUCUUUGCCCCUUGCCCCUCACCACCACCCCCUUAAUUCACAGCACAGCACAAACCCUGCAAACCGAAAGAGAAUAUUAAUACUUGAAGCAAAAAAGGGUGCAUGCCAGUCCCUCUCAGACAUGGCUAGGCGAUGCCAGGCCUUGUGCCCCUGGACCCCUAGCCCUACCCAGGGCAAGAGGGCCUUUCCCUAGAGCUACUGAGCUGCUUUGUGAUGUUGGAGGGUACUGCUGGCAGCAGGUGGAGGAGGGAGGGGCCUGGGGCUCUGACCCAUCUGGAGGAAAACCAGAUCGGCCUAAAAAAAAGGAAAAAGAAAAAUGAAAUCUCAGCAGUGUCCAAACCUAGUUUUCCAUUAGUUACGAUUGAAAAUGUGAAAUGACAUUGUGUGGCUGUAUACUGCAACUUUAAUCAUAAUGAGCCCUUCUGAGGUCAUUAUUGAGGUUUAUAUAAUGCCUGAAGAUGCAUCAUUGGUGCUUUUUCUUUGUGGAAAGACUUUUUCUUUUAUUACAAGGGGGAAAAAAUGUCUUCAUCUCUCUCCCACUUUAUAACAGCGGGCCUGGCUGGGCUUCCUGGCCCUGCCAUGCCGUUUCCACUAGGCCAAGGGACCACAGGGGCAGCAAGAGGGAGCAGGAAGGGGUGACCCUGAACAGCAAGUAUGCCAUCUGCUCCUACCUGUGGCCGGGCCCUGCCUUGCCAGCCCUCGGCCCCAUCCACCCCGAGCCUGGCCCCAACAGCUUCUCUUUGUUCCCCCUCUCUUCUCCAUCUUGACGAAGGCAUUAUAUAGAAUCAUUUUAAUCACUUUCAGAUGUUAGAGCAGCAUAUUUUACUGGCAUUUAUCCAUCGCUUUCCUCAGCAAGGCAUGUUACUACUCUUAUCAUCUAAGGAAAAAAAGACAAGGGAAUUUCGGCCAAGCAUUAUUUUCAUAUUACUAGUAUUUGCAGAGUAGAUGUAGAACUAUUUAAGUUUAGACCUUGGUUUGGUAGUUUAUUUUUUUUUUAAGGGAAAAAAGAUAAGGUAACCCCUACUUUUUUUGUUUUUGUAUUUAACUAAUAUAUUAUUUCUUUAAGGUUACUCACUUCCCCUAUUCCCUUCAAAUACUUUGCAUUCUCAUUCGAAAAUGAAAACAACCUGAGAGACAGGAUACGUGCAAUAUUAUCAAGAGGGAUGCCAGGGCUUGUUGGGAUGGUGGCGGGAGACCCGGUGGCCCAGUCUGUCGACAGAGGGAGGCGGGGCUGGCUGGGAGACGUGGGAGCUGUGGAGCAGACAGGUGGUCCAGGUUAUUGAUCUUCUCCCCUCCUUGCCUGCCCCCCUCCUGGCAGGGUGUCAGGGGUCCCCGCCAGAGGGCAGCCCCUUUUCCUGUUGGGUGUCAUCCACCCAGAAGAAAGGGAUUCAGGGAAGUAGCAUGGGGCUCUUGACCUCCCGCGGCCCCCGCCCUCAGAGCAGAGCAAGGACAUCCAGGAACUGUUCCUUGUUUUCAUUUCCGUUGUUUCCAGCCAGCUGCUCAGAAAGACCUGUCCUAAAAGUCACUCAGCAGCCCUCGCUCACCCCAGUCUCCUGAUGUUUGGGCCAUGAUCCUUUUGAUGUAUGUGUGAGUCUUUCUAAAACUAUGUAACCUCAGUUCAGUUUAUGGGCAGGAACCCUACAUGUAACCAAAUCCUUUUUUGGGGGAGGUGGGUGCCUUCAGCCCUGCCAUAUCCCAGUGAGACACCAAUUUCCACAAGCCUGCAGCUGGGCCUGGUGCUAACCUGGGCCACCCAUUCAUCUCAGUGACUUCAGCUGAGGAGUGAGCCCUGCCUCUGCUCAACACCCCAACGGUCAGUGCCCAGAGGGUCUCGGAGAAGCAGCUGAGGGGCCUACCCAGGUCUCUGCGGACAGAACUGCCCACAACAGGUACCAAAGCGGCGGCCUCCUAAGUGGGCACAGGCAGAGGAAGCAGCAGGGUGGGAAGUCUCUGGGUUCAAGCCCUUGGAGCUCGGCUCCUCGGCUCCAGGGACGGCCUUGCUGGCGUGUCCCCUCCACCUCCAGUACUGUAUGCUUGCUGCUCCAACCCCUGUUUGGUGCAUUUCUGUACAAAUAUGGAUCUAUGUGCCAAGAGGGACUGUGCCCCCCUGUGUGGGUCUCUCCCCUUGAGCAUCUACAUCUAUGUCCAACCUUUGAAAAUCUUGACGCAGAGCUCUCUGGAAAAGAGAACCAUCCACAUAACUAAAGAAUUAAGAUUCCCUCACUUUUUUGAGGGCUGUGUGUUGAGAAAGUGUGUGCGUGCGUGCGUGUGUGCGUGCAUGUGUGUAACUUCCCACUGUUACGAAGUAGAAUGGGGUUAGAGAAAACUAGCGGGCACGCUGUCUCCAUUGUACAGUCCUUGGCAUUGGGCAGGCCCCACGGGACUCGCAGCUUCUGGCAAGUGUGUGUGUUAUUCACACACGUAAUUCUGGCUGGAGAGUGCAAUGUGUCUUUUUAUUUUUUUGUAAUUAUUUUAUUAAGUAUUUAGUUGGAAACUUCACACUGGCAUUAACAGAUCUAGCAGAAGCAGCCUAGGCCAUCGUCCCAGGCUCCCAAAUAAAGUUGUGGAAAAGGGAUGCCGCUGAGUGCGCUACGCGGCAGGCCAACUCCCAGCCAUUGCCAUGCAUGUCAUCACCGUGGGAUGAUGGCCCUCAGCUCUUGUUUCUGAGGAUGGUCAGGGCGAGAACUUGCUCACGGUGAGCUCAGCAGACCUGCACGUGCAUGUCCAUCAGCACCUGCCUAGACCUCGGGCCCUGUCACUUGAUGGGACGAGUGUGAAGGGUUCCCCCUUGACCUUACUGAGAUUUCUGCCAAAAUCAUGAUCCCUGUUUGGGGCAGCCUCUGUGGUUCUCAUGCUCCGUGACCAGAGAAGGAUGGGGUCAGUGACCUAUUGCCUUAUUUCAGGAAAAGCAGCCCCACUGAUGUGAGCUUCCCUCCUGUUUUGUCCUGUGCACCUGGGCUCUCAGACCAGAAGUUGGGCACCUUGGUGCUUACAGACUGGGCAGGCCUGGUCCCAACCUGCCUAUGAGGUUGAGAUUGCCAUGCAUCUUCCUGACCCAUUCCUGCCUUUCUAAUCUUGAGUUUGCACUUGACCUUGACAAUCACCCACCCCAGUCCUAGAACUUAGUGGCCUUAGAGAGUGGGUCCCUGCGCUAAAGGUCCCUUCUUUGCACCCCCCAAGUUUCAUCCUGGCUAAUGGGGCUGGACUUCAGGAGGCGAGAGAGAGAGGAAAGAAUUGUUUUAAAGCAAAAGGAUGGAUCGAGCAUGUUGGAGACGAGCAAGAGGCAUGUCGGCAAGAUGAGUAUGUGCACGUGUGGCCUGUUUGGGUGUCUGGGACUGACCGUCCCUUCUCUGGGAAGGUGGCUUCCAGAAGAGGGUGUCUAGGCAGAAAGGGAAAAGUGUGAGAAGGCUGAGAGAGGGUUUGGAGUCUUGUCUUUAUUAAAAAGAAGGAAGAAGUUGAUUCUAAGUGUUUCAGGAAGAAGAGAGCAGGUAAGGAGGGAAUUUAGUGAUUCAACACACAAGGGUCCAGCCAGAUCAGGUUGGAAAUAAGGCUGGAGGAGGAGAAGCCGGCCAGAGGAAACGCUACUUGCUGUGCCACAAGCUGGGUCCCCAGCAAGUUCUUAAUGAACGGUCACUGAUUUACUCAGUGGAGAGAGUAAGUCACCAGCAACAACUUGUAUUUUGAGUUUGGAGGCCCUGGCUCCAGAAUAUUCAUCCACCUCCCAGGUUCCCAGCUGGUUUUGCCCACCUCUUUUUGUCUAAUACACAGCUAACCUCUCAAAUUGUUUAAAUCAAAGACUAGAGACCAAAAGGGUCAUGUAGUUAGAGACCCGCCACCCCCAAAUUGGAACCUCAGGGUCCAGAUACCAUCAAGCUCAUCUGGGAGGAAGGCAACCUUGUUUGUUCUUCUCAAGUGUCUCUGAUGAUGCCUGUGGUUAUGCAGUUGGCUGAGCCUGCCCACUGGUGUGACUUAGAAGACGGGGUGGGGGGGUUGUACAGUGCAGACUCAUCCAUGGAUAUGCCCUUUCGUGUUUAGUGGCCUAUGACCAAGACACACUGCUCUUGUGUUUAUUUCAGAGGAAGAAGGGCAAACAGCCACCAUUCUUGAAUCUGCAUCUUGUUCUCUGCAACAGGUUUUCUUUACCUGCAGGACACAGGAUGGGAAAGGGUUUCGCUGCUAGUCACUGAGAGGUUCGCAGGAAGGUGACCGAGUGAUGCACACGUGAGUGGCAGGUCCCUGCAGUGUGGGUUUGUGGACCGCGUGGUUGCAUGGGAGCUGGAUGCCUCGGCUCCAGAACUUUGGGGGAUUUCUCGUGGUGUCCGCUUAACCCCCCUCCCUCCCAGAUCCUAGUGGGCUCUGUGGGGGUCACGUUGUUUCCUCUUCCGCCCUCAGCAGAGAAACUGAAGGAAAGGACAUUAAAUUGAAUGCAGUCCAUUUGAGCACUAAAAAAUUUCCAGGAUCAAUGGUGGUGCUAAACUAUCUCCAUGUUUCUAUUAUUUUUAAUAGUGGGGUUUUUUUUAUUAUUAUUGUUCUCAUCACAAAAAUGCAGUGUCCUUGGGGAAGGGAUCCAGCCUCCUGGCCUGCACCUUUCCAGGUGUCCUUUAUCAUUUGGACGGGACUCUUUGGUCUGCAGAAAUACUAUGACUUGGCAUGCUUCUAGACUAAUCACCUCUUCAUUCUCCUUAAUGCCAGAAAACCCGUCCAGCUGAAUGGCAAAGCAUCCCCCAUGCAGAAUGAACUACAGGAUCCAUGUCCUCUGGGGACAGACGGGGUUGGGGAGGAGAAGCCUCCAACCCUCCCAACUUUUGCUGAACUCUAAUAAACAGGGCUGGGCCAUCCUGAUGUA
This is an RNA transcript of Myotis lucifugus (little brown bat), 10887 nucleotides long. It is a transcript of the gene named SH3 and PX domains 2A, with no coding region annotated. The transcript is spliced from 9 exons. NCBI's taxonomy places the organism in Eukaryota, Metazoa, Chordata, Mammalia, Chiroptera, Vespertilionidae. The record is from RefSeq and is a predicted model, not a curated record.